CCCUAUGUGGCUCAGUAGUUAGAGUAUUGGGCCCACAUACCAAAGGGUUGUGGGUUCGAUUCUCAGUCAAAGGCA
Molecule: transfer RNA, 75 nt
Filed under: Myotis brandtii (Brandt's bat)
Lineage: Eukaryota; Metazoa; Chordata; Mammalia; Chiroptera; Vespertilionidae
Rfam family: tRNA
About the family: Transfer RNA (tRNA) molecules are approximately 80 nucleotides in length. Their secondary structure includes four short double-helical elements and three loops (D, anti-codon, and T loops).
Source: Rfam by way of RNAcentral